Molecule: ribosomal RNA, 127 nt
Filed under: Aphanocalyx margininervatus
Lineage: Eukaryota; Viridiplantae; Streptophyta; Magnoliopsida; Fabales; Fabaceae
Description: partial 18S ribosomal RNA
Rfam family: Eukaryotic small subunit ribosomal RNA
Source: RNAcentral
AUCAUGGCAAUGUGGGUGGUUUGCUGCCAGUGACGUUGCAAGAAGUCCAUUAAACCUUAUCAUUUAGAGGAAGGAGAAGUCAUAACAAGGUUUCCAUAGGUGAACAUGCGGAAGGAUCAUUGUUGAU